GAUUGAACGCUGGCGGCAGGCCUAACACAUGCAAGUCGAGCGGUAGCACAGAGAGCUUGCUCUCGGGUGACGAGCGGCGGACGGGUGAGUAAUGUCUGGGAAACUGCCUGAUGGAGGGGGAUAACUACUGGAAACGGUAGCUAAUACCGCAUAACGUCGCAAGACCAAAGUGGGGGACCUUCGGGCCUCAUGCCAUCAGAUGUGCCCAGAUGGGAUUAGCUAGUAGGUGGGGUAACGGCUCACCUAGGCGACGAUCCCUAGCUGGUCUGAGAGGAUGACCAGCCACACUGGAACUGAGACACGGUCCAGACUCCUACGGGAGGCAGCAGUGGGGAAUAUUGCACAAUGGGCGCAAGCCUGAUGCAGCCAUGCCGCGUGUGUGAAGAAGGCCUUCGGGUUGUAAAGCACUUUCAGCGGGGAGGAAGGCGAUAAGGUUAAUAACCUUGUCGAUUGACGUUACCCGCAGAAGAAGCACCGGCUAACUCCGUGCCAGCAGCCGCGGUAAUACGGAGGGUGCAAGCGUUAAUCGGAAUUACUGGGCGUAAAGCGCACGCAGGCGGUCUGUCAAGUCGGAUGUGAAAUCCCCGGGCUCAACCUGGGAACUGCAUUCGAAACUGGCAGGCUAGAGUCUUGUAGAGGGGGGUAGAAUUCCAGGUGUAGCGGUGAAAUGCGUAGAGAUCUGGAGGAAUACCGGUGGCGAAGGCGGCCCCCUGGACAAAGACUGACGCUCAGGUGCGAAAGCGUGGGGAGCAAACAGGAUUAGAUACCCUGGUAGUCCACGCCGUAAACGAUGUCGAUUUGGAGGUUGUGCCCUUGAGGCGUGGCUUCCGGAGCUAACG
Molecule: ribosomal RNA, 839 nt
Filed under: Klebsiella pneumoniae
Lineage: Bacteria; Pseudomonadati; Pseudomonadota; Gammaproteobacteria; Enterobacterales; Enterobacteriaceae
Description: bacterial SSU rRNA
Rfam family: Bacterial small subunit ribosomal RNA
Source: RNAcentral